RNAcentral lists this ribosomal RNA (514 nucleotides) under uncultured bacterium. RNAcentral describes it as "partial 16S ribosomal RNA". It matches the Rfam family "Bacterial small subunit ribosomal RNA", at positions 28 to 523 of the family's 1533-position model. The record is from RNAcentral.
GAUGAACGCUGGCGGCGUGCCUAAUACAUGCAAGUCGAGCGAACAGAUGAGAAGCUUGCUUCUCUGAUGUUAGCGGCGGACGGGUGAGUAACACGUGGGUAACCUACCUAUAAGACUGGGAUAACUCCGGGAAACCGGGGCUAAUACCGGAUAAUAUUUUGAACCGCAUGGUUCAAUAGUGAAAGACGGUUUCGGCUGUCACUUAUAGAUGGACCCGCGCCGUAUUAGCUAGUUGGGAAGGUAACGGCUUACCAAGGCGACGAUACGUAGCCGAACUGAGAGGGUGGUCGGCCACACUGGAACUGAGACACGGUCCAGACUCCUACGGGAGGCAGCAGUAGGGAAUCUUCCGCAAUGGGCGAAAGCCUGACGGAGCAACGCCGCGUGAGUGAUGAAGGUCUUCGGAUCGUAAAACUCUGUUGUUAGGGAAGAACAAAUUUGUUAGUAACUGAACAAGUCUUGACGGUACCUAACCAGAAAGCCACGGCUAACUACGUGCCAGCCGCCGCAGUAA